This 1294-nucleotide long non-coding RNA is filed under the name Homo sapiens (human). RNAcentral describes it as "HSALNT0080412". The record is from RNAcentral. Lineage: Eukaryota; Metazoa; Chordata; Mammalia; Primates; Hominidae.
CUCAGCUCACUGCAAGCUCUGCCUCUCGGGUUAAAGUCAUUCUCCUGCCUCAGCCUCGCGAGUAGCUGGGACUACAGGCGCCCGCCACCACGCCAGGCUAAUUUUUUGUAUUUUUAGUAGAGACGGGAUUUCACCGUGUUAGCCAGGAUGUUCUUGAUCUCCUGACCUCGUGAUCCACCCGCCUCGUCCUCCCAAAGUGCUGGGAUUACAGGCGUGAGCCACGGCGCCCGGCCGUAGAUAAGAAUCUUAGAGCUGUUAAAUAUCCCUAUGCUAGAUCAAGAUGGGUCCAGGGACCUAAAGUUGGCUGGAGCCCGCUGGUGGGAUUCAGUGCGGAGCAAACAGGGUCCACGUGGAGAUGACAGUGAUAGAAGAUGAAGAAACUUUGUCCAGAUGUUCUGGGUAACUGGAAUGUGAAUAUCCACAGGUAUUUGUUGAAAGAAUAAAUGCAUGCCAAGAGAAGGGGAGGCACAGUGGAAGACACAGAGUGAAGAUACAGCUCCUGGUAAUUUCAGCACAAGGCUCUCAAUUCUUAACUGGGGCAGCAGGGAGCUGGCAUCCGCAUAAGCUGGAUAUGGCUUACUUGAGUGAAUGGAUCGCGUGCCCGGUAUUGACAUCCCAGAUUCUUUAGGGUUGUACCUAAAUAAAAAGAUGGAAAAGGAGAAAGUCUCUUUUUUUUCCAUCCAGGAAUCACUUUCAAACCCCGUAUCAUUAUUCAUGAGUUUUUGCAACGUAAGCAUGGCGCCCCUUUCACUUGCAUUUUUACUUUCUGUUUUCCUAAUCACCUGUCUCUUGGGUACAUUUUAUCUGUCCCAAGCAUCCUUACCUUCCCUUUGCCUGUCUUCUUUCCUUCUCUUCUGUCUCCCCUGUCUGUACGUCUUUGCAUGCUCUCUCUCUUCCUCUCUGGACCUCUCUGGGUCAGGAAGGCAUUUAGCGAGGAAAGCAUCUGAGGCCAAACAGCAUAGAUUUUCUCUUCCUCCUCCUCACAGGUUCUUUCUCUGGAAGGGGGCUUCAGAGGAGAGGAUCUUCUUUAGCUCCAUCCUCUUGCUGGGCAGCUUGCUCUCCAGACAAUUCCCUUGAACUUUUCCACAGCCCUAGCCUUCAUAACUCCCCAACCCCAGCCCUGACCCCAAGAUUCCAGGUCCUAACUCUGGGCUCUGCCCUGGCUUGUCUGAAAUCAGGUGUCCUGGAUGAAACAGAAAGUCAGUCAAGAGUUAGGUUGCUUCCCUCACCACUGACAGAUAUGUGAAACUUCGACCAACUAAUUCGAACUCAGAAGAUCAGGAGUAUGGUAGGA